RNAcentral lists this transfer RNA (69 nucleotides) under Myxococcales bacterium. RNAcentral's name for it is "tRNA-Gly". It matches the Rfam family "tRNA". From Rfam's summary of the family: Transfer RNA (tRNA) molecules are approximately 80 nucleotides in length. Their secondary structure includes four short double-helical elements and three loops (D, anti-codon, and T loops). Further hydrogen bonds mediate the characteristic L-shaped molecular structure. tRNAs have two regions of fundamental functional importance: the anti-codon, which is responsible for specific mRNA codon recognition, and the 3' end, to which the tRNAs corresponding amino acid is attached (by aminoacyl-tRNA synthetases). tRNAs cope with the degeneracy of the genetic code in two manners: having more than one tRNA (with a specific anti-codon) for a particular amino acid; and 'wobble' base-pairing, i.e. permitting non-standard base-pairing at the 3rd anti-codon position. Lineage: Bacteria; Pseudomonadati; Myxococcota; Myxococcia; Myxococcales. The record is from RNAcentral.
GCGCGUAGCUCAAUGGUAGAGCCAUUGCCUUCCAAGCAGGAGACGCGGGUUCGAUUCCCGCCGUCCGCU